GCCAGGUGUGGUGGCGUGUGCCUGUAGUCCCAGCUACUUGGGAGGCUCAGAUAGGAGAAUCACUUGAGCCCGGGAGGCGGAGAUUGCAGUGAGCAGAGAUCGUGCCACUGCAGUCCAGCCUGGGCAACAGAGUGAGACUCUGUCUCAA
Unclassified non-coding RNA from Papio anubis (olive baboon), 148 nucleotides. It matches the Rfam family "Metazoan signal recognition particle RNA". From Rfam's summary of the family: The signal recognition particle (SRP) is a universally conserved ribonucleoprotein. It is involved in the co-translational targeting of proteins to membranes. Lineage: Eukaryota; Metazoa; Chordata; Mammalia; Primates; Cercopithecidae. The record is from Ensembl.